CUUCUAUUACUUGCAGUCAGUAACAAAGAUUCAUCCUUGUGUCCACCAAGCAACAAGGAGAAUCUUUGUCACUUAGUGUAAUUAAUAGCCGCAC
Molecule: non-coding RNA, 94 nt
Organism: Ailuropoda melanoleuca (giant panda)
Lineage: Eukaryota; Metazoa; Chordata; Mammalia; Carnivora; Ursidae
Source: Rfam